RNAcentral lists this ribosomal RNA (301 nucleotides) under uncultured bacterium. Its description in RNAcentral is "partial 16S ribosomal RNA". It matches the Rfam family "Bacterial small subunit ribosomal RNA", at positions 509 to 807 of the family's 1533-position model. The record is from RNAcentral.
CAGCCGCCGCGGGAAUACAGAGGGUGCGAGCGUUAAUCGGAUUUACUGGGCGUAAAGCGUGCGUAGGCAGCUUUUUAAGUCGGAUGUGAAAUCCCUGAGCUUAACUUAGGAAUUGCAUUCGAUACUGGGAAGCUAGAGUAUGGGAGAGGAUGGUAGAAUUCCAGGUGUAGCGGUGAAAUGCGUAGAGAUCUGGAGGAAUACCGAUGGCGAAGGCAGCCAUCUGGCCUAAUACUGACGCUGAGGUACGAAAGCAUGGGGAGCAAACAGGAUUAGAUACCCGCGUAGUCCCUGUCUCUUAUAC